GUCUUAACUGCAUAGAUGUCCUCUAAAGGUCAGAAAAAUGGCCAUUUGGAAAGGUAAAAUGCUCUAUUUAAGGCUGUAUCACUUUUCUUUACAUAUUUUUGGUUGUGAAGUUUGUUUUCUGAAGAUUUCAUAGUCAUCUUAGCAUUUCCCACACUUAGCUUCAUGAAAGAGCCCCACGGCCUGUAAUUAAUGAGAAAUGCUAUAAAUGUCACCACUUCGCUCAUGAAACAGUUCUAUUUUUACUUGAUUCUUGACAUUCAGAUUUGUUAGCAUGCUGACUUGUGUUUUACAACUUUUCUUGUUUUACAGCUAACACAGCAUCUCAACUGUGCAGGCUAAAUGGCAAAUGCGUUUUCACAGAUUGGACAAAAGCAACUUAGAAAAAGAUUCUCUCUGGUCAAUCUCAUUUGCUUUGUUAUCAGAUUACUGGGACUAUUUUAGUCACUUUGACUGUAACUUUAAGUGUAUCCCUCUUCUGGUGUUGCAGUUGUUGGAAAUCUGUGACAGAAAUCAGACCAAUUCUUCCCAGUUUUGGACAUGAGCAGAGCAGUGCCUUCCUCUUGCAGAUAACUGGAAGAGAAAGAUUGCAUUUGUACUUGAAAUUGUGGCUGAGACAGCUACAUUAGCAACUCACCUGAAAUAAAGAUAUAAUCAAUAACU
Molecule: non-coding RNA, 660 nt
Organism: Lonchura striata (white-rumped munia)
Lineage: Eukaryota; Metazoa; Chordata; Aves; Passeriformes; Estrildidae
Source: RefSeq, a predicted model, not a curated record